AGUGAACGCUGGCGGUAGGCCUAACACAUGCAAGUCGAACGGCAGCACAGUAAGAGCUUGCUCUUACGGGUGGCGAGUGGCGGACGGGUGAGGAAUACAUCGGAAUCUACUUUUUCGUGGGGGAUAACGUAGGGAAACUUACGCUAAUACCGCAUACGACCUACGGGUGAAAGCAGGGGAUCUUCGGACCUUGCGCGAUUGAAUGAGCCGAUGUCGGAUUAGCUAGUUGGCGGGGUAAAGGCCCACCAAGGCGACGAUCCGUAGCUGGUCUGAGAGGAUGAUCAGCCACACUGGAACUGAGACACGGUCCAGACUCCUACGGGAGGCAGCAGUGGGGAAUAUUGGACAAUGGGCGCAAGCCUGAUCCAGCCAUACCGCGUGGGUGAAGAAGGCCUUCGGGAUGUAAAGCCCUUUUGUUGGGAAAGAAAAGCAGCAGGUUAAUACCCCGCUGUUCUGACGGUACCCAAAGAAUAAGCACCGGCUAACUUCGU
This 491-nucleotide ribosomal RNA is filed under the name uncultured bacterium. RNAcentral's name for it is "partial 16S ribosomal RNA". It matches the Rfam family "Bacterial small subunit ribosomal RNA", at positions 29 to 506 of the family's 1533-position model. The record is from RNAcentral.